GACGAACGCUGGCGGCGUGCUUAACACAUGCAAGUCGAGCGGUAAGGCCCUUUCGGGGGUACACGAGCGGCGAACGGGUGAGUAACACGUGGGUGACCUGCCCUUAGCUCUGGGAUAAGCCUGGGAAACUGGGUCUAAUACCGGAUAUGACUCCAUGACGCAUGUUGUGGGGUGGAAAGCCUUGUGCGGCUAGGGAUGGGCCCGCGGCCUAUCAGCUUGUUGGUGGGGUGANGGCCUACCAAGGCGACGACGGGUAGCCGGCCUGAGAGGGCGACCGGCCACACUGGGACUGAGACACGGCCCAGACUCCUACGGGAGGCAGCAGUGGGGAAUCUUGCGCAAUGGGCGAAAGCCUGACGCAGCGACGCCGCGUGAGGGAUG
This 381-nucleotide ribosomal RNA is filed under the name uncultured bacterium. RNAcentral describes it as "bacterial SSU rRNA". It matches the Rfam family "Bacterial small subunit ribosomal RNA", at positions 28 to 410 of the family's 1533-position model. The record is from RNAcentral.